RNAcentral lists this ribosomal RNA (253 nucleotides) under uncultured bacterium. RNAcentral describes it as "partial 16S ribosomal RNA". It matches the Rfam family "Bacterial small subunit ribosomal RNA", at positions 524 to 776 of the family's 1533-position model. The record is from RNAcentral.
UACGGGGGGAGCAAGCGUUGUUCGGAUUUACUGGGCGUAAAGGGCGCGUAGGCGGCCAUGCGUGUCUUCCGUGAAAUCCCUCGGCUUAACCGAGGACGUGCGGAAGAAACUGCAAGGCUCGAGUCCGGAAGAGGGGGGCGGAAUUCCCAGUGUAGCGGUGAAAUGCGUAGAUAUUGGGAGGAACACCAGUGGCGAAGGCGGUCCCCUGGGCCGGAACUGACGCUGAGGCGCGAAAGCGUGGGGAGCGAACAGG